GAACAGGAUUAGAUACCCUGGUAGUCCACGCUUUAAACGAUGAUCACUCGUUGUUGGCAAUACACCGUCAGCGACUGAGCGAAAGCAUUUAAGUGAUCCACCUGGGGAGUACGACCGCAAGGUUGAAACUCAAAGGAAUUGACGGGGGCCCGCACAAGCGGAGGAACAUGUGGUUUAAUUCGAUGAUACGCGAGGAACCUUACCUGGGCUUAAAUGUAGAACGACGGACCGGGAAACUGGUCUUUCUUCGGACGGUCUGCAAGGUGCUGCAUGGCUGUCGUCAGCUCGUGCCGUGAGGUGUCGGGUUAAGUCCCAUAACGAGCGCAACCCUCAUCAUUAGUUGCCAGCGGGUAAUGCCGGGGACUCUAAUGAAACUGCCGGUGUCAACCGAGAGGAAGGUGGGGAUGACGUCAAGUCAGCACGGCCCUUAUGUCCAGGGCUACACACGUGUUACAAUGGUCGGUACAAAGGGCAGCUACCUGGCGACAGGAUGCUAAUCUCGAAAACCGAUCUCAGUUCGGAUCGAAGUCUGCAACUUGACUUCGUGAAGCUGGAUUCGCUAGUAAUCGCGCACUCAGCCAUGGCGCGGUGAAUACGUUCCCGGGCCUUGUACACACCGCCCGUCAAGCCAUGGAAGCUGGGG
This 643-nucleotide ribosomal RNA is filed under the name uncultured organism. RNAcentral's name for it is "bacterial SSU rRNA". It matches the Rfam family "Bacterial small subunit ribosomal RNA", at positions 770 to 1416 of the family's 1533-position model. The record is from RNAcentral.